RNAcentral lists this transfer RNA (77 nucleotides) under Candidatus Peregrinibacteria bacterium CG_4_9_14_0_2_um_filter_53_11. RNAcentral's name for it is "tRNA-Pro". It matches the Rfam family "tRNA". Rfam says of the family: Transfer RNA (tRNA) molecules are approximately 80 nucleotides in length. The record is from RNAcentral. Lineage: Bacteria; Candidatus Peregrinibacteriota.
CGGGGUGUAGCGCAGUUGGCUAGCGCGCUUGGUUUGGGACCAAGAGGCCCCGGGUUCGAGUCCCGGCACCCCGACCA